This 339-nucleotide unclassified non-coding RNA is filed under the name soil metagenome. RNAcentral's name for it is "partial contains 5.8S ribosomal RNA, internal transcribed spacer 2, and large subunit ribosomal RNA". The stretch from base 3 to 120 matches the Rfam family "5.8S ribosomal RNA", at positions 37 to 154 of the family's 154-position model. The record is from RNAcentral.
GCUGAAGAACGUAGCGAAAUGCGAUAAGUAGUGUGAAUUGCAGAAUUCAGUGAAUCAUCGAAUCUUUGAACGCACAUUGCGCCCCUCGGUAUUCCGUGGGGCAUGCCUGUUCGAGCGUCAUUUAACCCCUCAAGCCUAGCUUGGUAUUGGGUGCUUGUCCCGCCUCUCGCGCGGCGACUCACCUCAAAGUCAUUGGCAGCCCGCAUCUCGCCGGCCGUGAGCGCAGCACAGACGCGCUCUUGGCAACGACGGAUCGGCUCUCCAAAAGCUUAUUUCAACCACUGACCUCGGAUCAGGUAGGGAUACCCGCUGAACUUAAGCAUAUCAAUAAGCGGAGGA